AAAGUCAGGGUUUCACCAUGUUGGCCAAGCUGGUCUUGAACUCUUGACAUCAAGUGAUCUUCCUGCCUCAGCCUCCCAAAGUGCUAGGAUUACAGGUGUGAGCCACCACACCUGGCCUUAAAUGUCUGCUUUCAUUAUGAUCUACCAUUAAGUUUUCUGUAAAAAGCUCCAUCCUGGUAGUAACCAUAACCUCUCUUCACUCCUAUUCUAGAGGCGAGAAUUCUGAUGACAGACAGAAGAAUGAAGUGCUGGGAGUCCAUUUCCCUUUUACAGAUGGGCUGAACACAGAUGGGAAUCGUCCCGGAUGAUGGAUGAGGAGGAGAUGGUGCUGAGAGGCGCUCGGGGACCCGUCAAGGGGUCUCUCCCAGCUUCGUCUGUGAGUCACAGAUCAUCCUGACAAAUCCUGCCGCAGAGCGGAGGAGAAGUGAGACGGGAGAGAUGGAGGAUUUAUUGUUUCAGAGCCUUCCUCCAUUGCAGGGAUUUUUUUACUCCAGAGAAGCAUUAACAGAGAGUACUCCUAAUCUGGGUUUUACUUUCUCAGCCAAAGCACUUCUUCACAGCUCGAGCAAAUGCAGGCCAUGCCUACAUUCGCUCAUUCAUUCCCUCACAUACUGUGGGCGCAGAGACAGAGGCAAGAGUCGUCGUCAUCACGAGCUCAGAGGGAGGAUUGCAGACGCUGCUGAAUGCUGUUCGCUUUAAUAAAAAGAUGAAAGAGAGCACCCACUGUGACUGACACAGGCCAGCGUCAGGACAUAACGAGGAAAUGUCAUGCCGGACUGACAUGCCAGACUUUCACUUCAGCUGUGCAGCGCAGUUCCUCCCCUCAGGACAGAGUCUCUAGAGCACCCAUGGGGCAGCUCUGCCACCGAAGACUCACCUUACAGACACAGUCUCCCCUUGGGCACAAAGAAUGAAACCAAGGACUUGCCCAUUGCUCUCCCUUCAGAAUCUAUCCAAGCCUCCAGCCCCAGAGCCUGCCUAACAAUGGCAGAUUCGGAUGGGGGUGAGGAGGAGGAGGGCGUGGGAGGAGAGAAAGAAGAACGGCAGGGGUAAUUAUGGGGAAGCAGGUGGUCGGGGCAGAGCGAGGACAUAAGGCCAGUGCUGUGACACCCAGGGAUGGUGGGAGCCAUGGGAGGCCCAGGCCCCUUCUGUCCUGGCCUGGAUGCCGCCUCCCUCACCGCCUGGCUGGCUUGAGGAAUCAGAAAGAGCAUCAGCUACGGGUCUGUACACGAGCAGAUGAGCCCUGCUGCCGGGCUAGCCUCACGCUGUGAAAUAGCAGAGAGGCCUGGCCCCAGUACAAUCCGGGAAGGGGAGGGGGCACAGCCUCGUCUGUUUGGCCCCUCGUUCUCUGCCUCUCUGUCCUGGAAUGGCACAUCCACGAGGGCAGGGGCUUCGUGCCUCUUGUUGUCUUCGUGCCUCUCUGCUGUCUCCCAGAACCAACCAC
Molecule: long non-coding RNA, 1444 nt
Filed under: Callithrix jacchus (white-tufted-ear marmoset)
Lineage: Eukaryota; Metazoa; Chordata; Mammalia; Primates; Cebidae
Description: lncRNA (ENSCJAG00000061184.2)
Source: RNAcentral